UUUUGGGACGAUCUCUUCCAGAAAAGCUUCUUCUGAAAGAAGCCUGCAGUCUAGACAUAGCCCCUGUCUGUAAAAUAGGUAAGUAGUUUCCUAGACCAGAUUGUCAAAUGCCUAAUUUCUGGAAAUUAAACACCUAAAUACCUUUGGAGAUCUGGACAAGAGAGUUUAUAUAUCUGCUACAUGGGUACUUACCUCUGCCAAGUUGAGGCUUACAUCUCUCUCUCUCUAUAUAUAUAUAUUUUAGAGAUUUGUGCAUAUGUCUGUGAGUCUGUCUCUGUCCAUUUGUUCAAGAACUAAAUGGUAAGAGCUUGACCACCAAAUUUGGUAUGCAGUUUCCUCUAAUCCUAACUUAAAAGCAAGACCAAAGAAAAUGGGAUGCCCUUGAAUUUGAUUGUUUUCUAUAGCAUGGAAAGAGAGGGGGCUGAGUGGAGGGAUGCUAUACUCACAAUCACCACUCUGGUCAUCGAGUGCAGGGGCCAGGUUUAAUGCAGAGUGACCACCGGGGACAACUGCAUCACCAAGGGAGUAGCUAGCUGGAGAUGGGGCUUGCCAUCUUGCCUUCCACUGGCCCAGCCAUCUCCUGAAAAAAUAACUGCUAAUCUGAUGGCCUAUCUGAGUUUUCCAUUGUCUUGUAAGAACAGAUUUCCUAUCUCCAUCACCAGAGUCUGCUUUUCACCUGGAAGUUUCAGAUACAAGAACAAAGACAUAACCAAGCCACCCAGAACCCAAGCCUUUCAGAACUCCUUACCUUGAGGAAAUUGAUCAGUGGUGGUGGUUAGCUUGAGCUCCUCCUCCAUAUCCCAGUCCUCAAGGCCACUUUUUAGAUGCAGACUUUCCCAAAACAUUUUGUUUUGAAAAUUCAAAUACAUUUUCUUAUAAUCUGUAAAAUAACCCACAACUGUUGCAGAUCCUGGAUGUUGGAGGGAGGCUACAGAGCAAGCCACACAGAGUUAAUCAUGGAUAACUUUCAACUUUCUAAUUCUGCUCUAUGUGAUUUGAUCCCACUUUAAAGAGAAAGAGAUUUGACUAGGGGAAUUAAAGGAUUGGUCUCUAUUUAAAAGUGUGAAACACCAAUUACAGAUCCUAGUAGGGACUGGAUGAUUAGUGUCAGUGAAGCGAGCAAUCUACUUGAAAAUAAGAGCCAUCACCUGAGAGGCUUUGUUUGUUCAUGUAAACUAAAUUUUUGAUAAGUGCUCAGCUCCUUAAGUUUGCAGAGCUGUAGCUUAAUGUUUCUGGAAGAAUGUAAGUGUAAAGGAAUAUGUUUGCAGCUGUUCAUAAUACAGGAUCAUCCAAGGGUGUGUGGCCUUGUGGUCUGAGGCUUUUUGGAGGGCAUAUAGGGGACUUUGAGGCACAUCUGAAGACACAGAGAAGUUCUGCCUCUCAACCUUUUUGAAUAGUUUAGUUUCUUUUCUCCUUCUCACACCUCAUGUUCUUUUUUACUCUUUUUUCAUCUCAGUCCCAGUUUCUACUUUCUCAUUUCCCUUCCCUGUCUUGUUCCUAGCCCAGAUCCUUCCCUUCCAACAAAUUGCUAUUCUGCUCCCCCUCACUACUGUCUUUUUCUCCCCAGCUCCAAGAUAAAUCAAUAGCCUUCCUAGUAAUCUCACUGUGCUGCCAGUUCACCAGCAGAUGGAACACAGCUGGGGAGUGAAACUGAGCUGUCUCUUGUCCUGUUCACUUGACUGUUCUGGUCCAUGUCUGAGCUAAGCACGAGUUGGGUGAGGGGGGGUACAUGUCAGUGCAUGGCAUGAUUUUUCUUGUAUUUGCCUCAUUUUAAUACAGAUGUAUUUCUAGAGCAGCAGACCUGGUGCUAGGCAUGAGCAGGCUAAGCAAUUCUUAAGAAGCUUAAGAGGCUCCUGUGUUGUGUGAGUGGGAACAAAAAUAUUCUUGUUCAGGGCCUCCGAUGGUCUUGCACUAGUACUGAAUUGAGUACUCCAGUACAUGCCUGGAGUAGGUAAGUGCUGGUCCCAGGGAUUAAUUUGGUCAAGGGACUCCUCUGGGCAUGAUUCCCUUAAAUCCCCAUAGGAAUUGAUAUCAACCAGUUAAAUGUUACAUUAACUGAGUUCUUGCAGCGCAGCAGGCCUGGCCAGACUGGAGCAACGCCCACCCGUGGUGCAAUGUGAGUGAUGGAUGGCUCCAGGCUGGCCGGGCUGCAAAUUAACUGAUUACCCCAGUAAGGCUAAUGCUUACUGGGUAACCAGUUAAGCAGUUGACCCUUUACAUCCCUACUGUCUAUACAAGGAUUUAAGUUGACUUAACUGUACUGCUCUGGAAUGAUCAGGUAUAAAAGCAUCAGUUCUACUUAUUCCCAAAUUGCUCUGAUGUGUGGAGACCCUAUGGUAGGGCAGGAAGCACCUAAUUUUACACUCCUCCCCCCAAAAACGCCAUGUAUCCAGGACUAGAAUCUCCACACUGAUUGUGCUGCCCCAAGUCACACAAAAACCACACCAAAUUUCCUGGAACAACAGCAGUUUGAGGAGGAAGAUCCUUUGUCGGAGGAGGAAGAUAGAUUCCCCCCCUCCUCCAUCCUUAUCUCCUGAUGAGGCUAUAAUUCCUACGAUCCCAACUCCUACAGACGAGUUAAAACAAUUCCAGGGUUGUUUAAACAAGUGGCCAGUGCACAAGAGAUAGAUAAGAAGUGCUGGAGAAGCAACAUAGACUUCUCCACAUCCUUCAGCCUUCCACAUCUUCGAAAAUAGUCUCCCUUUGGACGAAGCCAUUCUCAACCCAGCUGACACCAUCUGGCAGACACCUGCUUCUAUCAUGCCCACUAACAAGAGAGCAGAUAGAAAAUACUUUAUUCCUGCCAAGGGGAUGGACUUUAUUUGCUCACAUCUCCCUCCAAACUCCCAAGUGGUGGACUCUGUCCAUUACAGAGCCAAAUACCCCCAAUUCUGGUCCACCCCACCAGGAUAAAGGCCAUAAGUGGCUCGACAAACUGGGUAGAAAUGUCUGCUCCUCGGCCACUCCGCAAUUGUGGGUAGCCAAUUAUUUGGCGUUUCUUGUUGAUUACAACCACACCAAUUACUCAGAAUUGCAAGAUCUCAUGCAGAUCUUCUCAGAACAGAAGAGGCCUUAACUUCAGGUCAUAAUUCAAGAGAGUCACACCAUUGCCUGUAUGGCAUUCCAAGCUGCCUUAGACAUCACAGAUACUGCUAAAUACAGCACCCCCAUGGCAACUGUCAUGCACAGGGUUUUGUGGCUACAAGCAUUGAGAAUACCUAGGGAACUGCAACUCAAAGUGGAGAACCUCCCUUUUGAUAAGACCAACUUAUUUGCUAGCAAAAUAGACGAGGUCUUUCACUCCAUGAAAAAUUCUCGCACAACCCUCAGAACACUGAGGGUUAUUUUUACCUUGGUUAUUUAUAUACCACCAAAUAAAUGCCAAAGGUAUAACACCUAUUCAAGGUCAAAGGAGUCAUACAGAUAGCUCAACAGUCCAUAUGACUUCAGACAAAGGCAACAACAACAGAAGUAUAGACCACACUGUCAGCAACAAUCUAACACAAAUCAGCUGUCUACAUCAAAAUAGCAAAUUUGAAGGUUUGUUCAAGGGCUUGAGCAACAUCCCCACCAUACCAUUUGCCACAUUAAAAGUCAUAUGUGGGUCCUGCAGCUUAGCAAGCCUGGAAUGGAAGUUUCCAUCCUAGCUGUACACAGGCAAAUGCAAACAGUAGCUGGGCUUUAUCAGCUUUAACCCAUGCCUUGAGCUGGGAAGCUACUAAGCUGUAAACAAGUUUGGCCUUGGGCUCAGCUCAUGAGAAUGUUAAGAAUGGUGUUGAGCCAGUACGUGCACGCUAUUAAACAACUGUAAUAUAACUAGUGUAGGGAGUCCUAUGCCCAGUGAGUCUCACCAGGGACCUAAACCUCGAAGGGUGCCCAGGAUUCCCCCAGCUAGAGCCACGUCCACUGCGGCCUUGUGCGAGGUGACAGGAACGGGACUCCCCACAGACUGAAGGGAUGUAAGCAUUUCUAAGUGCCUGUUGCUCUCUUAUGCAUUGCUUUGCCUGUGCUAAUUGAUGUAUCACUUUGCAGUAGCUGUGUAAUCAUCUAACCAUAUUAACGCUAUAAUAGUAGUGACAUAGUGAGAUUAAUAAAAGCAACUAUCCCUAAUCGAUUUUGUUAUGAAGCGAAUCCAUAAUCCUAUUUGGCUAUGCCCCUGUGAGUUGACACCGUUGUCUACACCAUCCAAUCUCCAAUUUACCCACCAGCAAUGGUCCUUUUUCCAACAAUGAACUAAAAUAACAUCUGACCAGUGGAUUUUAGAGAUCAUCAGUUUGCUCUACACCAUAUUCUUCAUACCAAUUCCCCCUCCCCAUUUCCCCCUUCUCUCUUCAGGGACUCCCUCACAAAAACUUCCUACAACUAGCGGUUCAACAUGUGCUGCAAGUUGAGGCCAUAGAACCAGUUCCAUCAGCCUAUCCAGGAAGAGGGUUUUACUCAUAAUACUUCCUCACACAGAAGAAGAUAGGGGUUGGAGACCCAUACUAGAUCUCAGAAAGCUCAGCAAGUACAUAACAUAUUAGAGGUUCAAGAUGGUCAUGUUAAUAACCAUCAUACUGGCUUUAGACAAUGGAGAUUGGUUCUUAGCCCUCAACUUCCAAGAUGUCUGUUUUCAUAUAACAAUCCACCCAGCACACAGAUGUUUCCUAUGUUUCACAGUGGGAACCAACCACUACCAAUAUCAAGUUCUUCUAUUUGGCUUAUCAAUGGCACCAAGAGUCUUCACCAAAACUCUGUCUGUAUACCUGUCAUAUAGGAGUGAUAACCUUUCCAUAUUUGAAUUACUCCCUCAUCAAGGCACCCAAGACAUGGUCAACAAGACUAUCGCUCUGCAACUCAGCCUUGGAUUCCAUAUCAACUAUCAGAAAUCCACAUUGCAGCCCAUACAGGCUCUCGAGUUCAUAGGUGCUCAACUAGAUUCCGCCACAGCCACGAUGACUCUACCUGAACACAAGUUUAGGUCCCCCCACAUAAACUCAAUGCAGGCUUUGCCAGUUACAACAGUACACAGGUGUCUCCAAAUCCUUGGUCACAUGGUGGCCAUAAAGUAUGUGAUGAAACUAGCAAGACUCCAUAUGAGAUGCCAUCAAGCAUAGUUGGCCACUGCUUAUAUCCCUUUCAGGGACUCUACAGUCAACAGAGGAAAAAGGACUGUAAGCUGUCUAAAAUCCUACCUACCACAUGGGGCCACAACAGUGGUACCCCUAACUCACCCAGCAAUAUCGUCAAUCUUUCCAACUACACACACAGCCCGGCAGAAGAGUCUGUUCUAUCUCGGGGACUCUCUUUUUGCCCCGCCACCCCCGCUAACAUGAU
Molecule: non-coding RNA, 5316 nt
Organism: Pelodiscus sinensis (Chinese soft-shelled turtle)
Lineage: Eukaryota; Metazoa; Chordata; Testudines; Trionychidae
Source: RefSeq, a predicted model, not a curated record